RNAcentral lists this non-coding RNA (21 nucleotides) under Caenorhabditis elegans. Lineage: Eukaryota; Metazoa; Nematoda; Chromadorea; Rhabditida; Rhabditidae. The record is from RNAcentral.
UUGGUCAAAGAUAUUGUAAGG